Molecule: ribosomal RNA, 387 nt
Filed under: uncultured bacterium
Lineage: Bacteria
Description: bacterial SSU rRNA
Rfam family: Bacterial small subunit ribosomal RNA
Source: RNAcentral
ACUCCUACGGGAGGCAGCAGUGGGGAAUAUUGCACAAUGGGGGAAACCCUGAUGCAGCCAUGCCGCGUGUGUGAAGAAGGCCUUCGGUUGUAAGACACUUCAGUAGGGAGGAAGGUAGUGUAGUUAACACCUGCAUUAUUUGUACGUUACCUACAGAAGAAGCACCGGCUAACUCCGUGCCAGCAGCCGCGGUAAUACGGAGGGGUGCGAGCGUUAAUCGGAAUUACUGGGCGUAAAGCGCAUGCAGGCGGCCUGUUAAGUCAGAUGUGAAAGCCCGGGGGCUUAACCUCGGAAUUGCAUUUGAAACUGGCAGGCUAGAGUCUUGUAGAGGGGGUAGGAAUUUCAGGUGUAGCGGUGAAAUGCGUAGAGAUCUGAAGGAAUACCAGU